Non-coding RNA from Pelobates cultripes (western spadefoot toad), 203 nucleotides. The record is from the annotation of a GenBank genome assembly. NCBI's taxonomy places the organism in Eukaryota, Metazoa, Chordata, Amphibia, Anura, Pelobatidae.
CCGCAGUCCCUGUAUGAGAGCAGUAGGCGAUGGGCUGUAGUUUGCCUUCAUUUAGUUGCAACAGGGCAGCUCCUAGGCCAUAACUGCUAGCAUCUAUGCUAACCACUGUCUUUUAGUAGAGUCAUAUAACCCUAGCACAGGGGCAGACCUUAACAUUGACUUAAUCAGUGCAAAGGCCUCCUCAUGUGGAGGUCCCCAGGUCC